AGCGAAGCCUGUGCUACUGUGAGUCUUGCCGGAAGCUGCGAGGAGACGAGGCCCACAGGCGCAGAGGGGAGCCUCCCCGGGAAUAUGCACUGCCCUUUGGCUGGUGCAGGUUCAACCUCAGGUACAUAUGGGCAAGGUCAUGCCUUUCCCCUACUGUUUUCCCCCUGGAGAAACGGGGAUCCCAAGAGGGUGCAUGGAAGAAGUAAUAGAACUUCCUGUCUAAGGAAAAGCCAGGAAGUGCCAGGGACUUCCUGUCUAAGGAAGAGCCUCGUGAAGCUCCUCCACUGGGGAGUCAGUGGCCUUCGUUCUAUCUGCCCCGCUUGUCCACCUCCUAGAGUGAAUCCCCGCCUGGAGGCUGGGACACUAACCAAGAAGUGGCACAUGGCAUAUCACGGGAGCAAUGUUGCCGCUGUACGGAGAGUGCUGGACCGAGGGGAGCUGGGAGCAGGUACUGCCUCCAUCCUGAGCUGCCGUCCUUUGAAGGGAGAACCUGGGGUAGGGUUCGAGGAGCCUGGCGAGAACUGUGCACCUCCUCGGGAGGAGCAGCCCCCUCCUGUGCUGCUUUCCCCCUCCCUUCAAUAUGCUGGGGCGGAGACCCUGGCCUCCAAAGUGCAAUUCCGGGACCCCAAAUCCCAGCGGACGCACCAGGCUCAGGUGGCGUUCCAGGUGUGUGUGCGCCCUGGCUCCUACACCCCGGGACCCCCUUCCGCUGCCCUUGGAGAACCUCCUGACCCUCACUUCAGUCCAGCCGAACUUGAGUGGGUCACUAAGGAGAAGGGGGCCACACUCCUCUGUGCCCUGCUGGUACGGGUGGAAUGA
Molecule: small RNA, 819 nt
Filed under: Pan troglodytes (chimpanzee)
Lineage: Eukaryota; Metazoa; Chordata; Mammalia; Primates; Hominidae
Description: retained intron
Source: RNAcentral